Molecule: long non-coding RNA, 2470 nt
Organism: Oenanthe melanoleuca
Lineage: Eukaryota; Metazoa; Chordata; Aves; Passeriformes; Muscicapidae
Exons: 2
Source: RefSeq, a predicted model, not a curated record
GAGAAUUAUGAAACAACAGGAAGAAAAACAGGGCUCACAAUGGAAAGCAAGACUCAGUCUGAACAGCUGAGAUGUCUCAGCCUCUCCAUGAUGAGCCCUAUUUUGAAAACAAUCAAUGGAAAGAAAUUGGGAGGUGUUGACAGCCAACAGGAGGUGUAGUCAGCCCGCCCACUCGAGGUAUCUCGCUGAGGUGCUGCUGCUGCUCGGGUCCCGGAGUUCAGGAGGAGGAUGAGCAAUCCCUACGCCUACCGCAGCCGUCAAUGGACGGGAGGCGCCCGGAGCCCAAACGAGGCACCUGGAGGGUGCUGACAUCCCACUUCCCAAUGCCUGAGCUCAGCUUAGUGGAGGAAGAAGGAGGAAAGGAGAAGAGACACCAAAGGAAGGAGACAGAGACAGACGCGGAGUUCCGUGUUUGCAUUUGGUGCUGGAGAAAAGCAGAGCCUCAGGGUACCCAGGGCUUGCAUAAUUUGCCUUCCCGCCCCUGGCACUGGCAGGGAAAACGCUUUCCAAGGAUGAGUAAAACCCUGGCGGAGCCAGCGGCUCAGGGAAAGGCAGGGAAGGUGUCACCUGGGGAGCAGGCGUUGGAUGGGACCUGCCAGGCUUUCCCUGGGAACCACACCCCUCUGCCUGUCUCUCCGUCAGAGGGAUUCCCCCAGCCCCUCACCACCCCCUUCAUCUCUCCCACUGCUGGCAGGAUCUGGCAGGGAGGAGAGGAUGGGGAAGGGGGACGGGGACGAGCGUGCAGGCACGGGCAGAGGGCAGAGCCCAGCCCCUGACAGCGGCUGGCUCCGGCUGUGCCUUCCUGCCCCGUGCUUCCAGCUGAAGGAGGAGGCAAAGGCGUUUCGCAUCCCUGCGGAUGUGCGGCUCGAGCAGGAUUCGAAGGGAAAAGGCAAGGCUGGGGGCACCGAUUUCCCAGCACUUUCCCGUUCCCGCAUCAGGUGGGGAGGAGGGGAUGCAGCCUCCCCUGAUCAUACUGCCAUGCAUUUCUCCCCCACCCCAACCCCCAAGUUUAGGGUAGAACGGAACAAUUUCCUUACACUGGCAACCAUCCAUUAUGUCUAUGGAUCUGCUCCCCACCCCAUUCCCCCUCUCUUUCCUGUUUUGAUGAAAGGAAAAAAUGUUCUGCUUUCCUUCUUUAUUUUUCCAGACUGGUGAAUAGCACUCGAAAGGAAUUUCUCUCCCUACCCCCUUCCCCUCUCCCAGUAUAAUAAAUACACACGUACUUGUGUGUGAACACAGCACACAUCGCAGGUCAUCUGCUGUUUUUCAAAAGGCAUACACUAUUUUUGUUUCCAGAUUGAUUCUGUGGGCAGCAGUCCCCCUUUCCACUGGCACCACCCCAAGCACUGCUUCCCCUGCCCCUGCCCUCUGCCACUCACCGUGUCCCCAUCCUUUGCCCCCGGGCCGGCAGCGAGCGGUGGUGGCGGCGGCAGCAGCGGCAGCAGCGAGAAGGAAGCUUUGCUGAGCUGGAGUAAAAAUAGCCCCAGCAGUUACUCAGCUCAGAACGUAACAUGACUCAUGUGAAACGAGGAUGAGGGUCGAAAACCAAAAGCAAGCAGCUCUCCCCCCCCAUCCCAGCCCCCACCACCUGCUGCUGCUGCUCACAUCACCCAGCAAAACCCGCUCAAAGUGCUCCUGGCUGGGGGUCAGGGCAUCAGUGGAAAGCCCUGCUUGUGCUACCUGCAAGAACCAGUCCUCCUGCCUGCACCCAUCUGGUGGUGCUGACACCAGCAGCAGGCAGAUUUGGUGGUGCUGCAGCCGACUCUCAGCUCCUUUAGCCUCCCUUAAACUGAGCAAAACUGACAUCCCCUGACACAGUGGGACCAAACACUGCAGCAGCCUCGUACCAAUGCAGCCGGGCACCCCAGCUGAGCCUGGAGAGAUGAGGGAGGUCCUGCCCACCAGAGCCCACCCUGCAGCCCACCCCGUCACUGGGUGCCCCAUGGCCAGGUGUGGGGCACAGCUGGGCUGGGUGGGAGAGCAGCACAGCAGGCCUGGCUGGCCACCACUAUCUUGUGGCCUGUGUAAUAAAGGAGGGAGUUUAAAAAUAGACUUUGAGCUGCAAUGCCGGAAAGGCAGCGAGACGUAUAGAGCGGGUGUGUGUUUAUCCUACACACCCUGUGCCUGCCAGGGGAGCUGCCCCAAAGCACAGGCACUGCUCUCUGCUCAGGGACUGCCUGGCCUGGCAGUGCAGGGCUGAGGGGAGCCCUGAGCUCUGCCUCACAGCUGCCAGAGCUGCCCAGAGAUGCCCACCUCCAUCCCAUCCCAAAGCCAUUUGGAACUGUGGGACAUGCACCUCUCCCCCAUGCCAGCCCUGCAUGAUGUGUGGCUCCUCCACCCCCCUGUAUAUCCAGACAAAGUGGCAUCUCUCAGGACAAAGCCUUUCAAUAGAUCCCCUGCCCUCUGCCCUCUGCUGAACAAUGAGAAAUCAAGGAAUAUUGUCCGAGUUGAAUAAAAAGAUCUAAAUUUA